Molecule: ribosomal RNA, 467 nt
Filed under: uncultured bacterium
Lineage: Bacteria
Description: bacterial SSU rRNA
Rfam family: Bacterial small subunit ribosomal RNA
Source: RNAcentral
AACGAACGCUGGCGGCAGGCCUAACACAUGCAAGUCGAACGAGUAAGAGCCGUAGCAAUACGGAGUUCUGCUAGUGGCGCACGGGUGAGUAACGCGUGGGAACGUGCCUUGGAGUUCGGGAUAACAGUUGGAAACGACUGCUAAUACCGAAUAUUCCCUCAGGGGGAAAGAUUUAUCGCUCCAAGAUCGGCCCGCGUAAGAUUAGGUAGUUGGUGGGGUAAUGGCCUACCAAGCCUACGAUCUUUAGCUGGUCUGAGAGGACGACCAGCCACACUGGAACUGAGACACGGUCCAGACUCCUACGGGAGGCAGCAGUGGGGAAUAUUGGACAAUGGGCGAAAGCCUGAUCCAGCCAUGCCGCGUGAAUGAUGAAGGCCUUAGGGUUGUAAAAUUCUUUUGCAGGGGAAGAUAAUGACGGUACCCUGCGAAUAAGCUCCGGCUAACUUCGUGCCAGCAGCCGCGGUAAU